AGAGUUUGAUCCUGGCUCAGAACGAACGCUGGCGGCAUGCCUAACACAUGCAAGUCGAACGAACCCUUCGGGGUUAGUGGCGCACGGGUGCGUAACGCGUGGGAACCUGCCUUUAGGUUCGGAAUAACUCGAAGAAAUUUGAGCUAAUACCGGAUAAUGUCUUCGGACCAAAGAUUUAUCGCCUUUAGAUGGGCCCGCGUUAGAUUAGAUAGUUGGUGGGGUAACGGCCUACCAAGUCGACGAUCUAUAGCUGGUCUGAGAGGAUGAUCAGCCACACUGGGACUGAGACGCGGCCCAGACUCCUACGGGAGGCAGCAGUGGGGAAUAUUGGACAAUGGGCGAAAGCCUGAUCCAGCAAUGCCGCGUGAGUGAUGAAGGCCUUAGGGUUGUAAAGCUCUUUUACCCGGGAUGAUAAUGACAGUACCGGGAGAAUAAGCUCCGGCUAACUCCGUGCCAGCAGCCGCGGUAAUACGGAGGGAGCUAGCGUUGUUCGGAAUUACUGGGCGUAAAGCGCGCGUAGGCGGCUAUUUAAGUCAGGGGUGAAAUCCCGGGGCUCAACCCCGGAACUGCCCUUGAAACUGGAUGGCUAGAAUCCUGGAGAGGCGAGUGGAAUUCCGAGUGUAGAGGUGAAAUUCGUAGAUAUUCGGAAGAACACCAGUGGCGAA
This 665-nucleotide ribosomal RNA is filed under the name uncultured bacterium. Its description in RNAcentral is "bacterial SSU rRNA". It matches the Rfam family "Bacterial small subunit ribosomal RNA", at positions 8 to 719 of the family's 1533-position model. The record is from RNAcentral.